AUUGAACGCUGGCGGCAUGCUUUACACAUGCAAGUCGAGCGGCAGCGCGGCGUACGGGCUUGCGGCGAGGGGCGCACGGGUGAGUAAUGUAUCGGAACACGCCGAGGCGUGGGGGAUAACACUGCGAAAGAAGUUCUUAUACCGCAUACGUCCUGAGGGGGAAAGCGGGGGAUCGCAAGACCUCGCGCGAUGGGAGGGGCCGAUGUCAGAUUAGCUAGUUGGUGGGGUAAAGGCCUACCAAGGCGACGAUCUGUAGCUGGUCUGAGAGGGUGAUCAGCCACACUGGGACUGAGACACGGCCCAGACUCCUACGGGAGGCAGCAGUGGGGAAUUUUGGACAAUGGGCGCAAGCCUGAUCCAGCAAUGCCGCGUGAGUGAAGAAGGCCUUCGGGUUGUAAAGUUCUUUCGGCAGGAACGAAACGGUGGGCUCUAACAUAGUCCGCUAAUGACGGUACCUGAAGAAGAAGCACCGGCUAACUACGUG
Molecule: ribosomal RNA, 484 nt
Filed under: uncultured bacterium
Lineage: Bacteria
Description: partial 16S ribosomal RNA
Rfam family: Bacterial small subunit ribosomal RNA
Source: RNAcentral